CGGACGGGUGAGUAAUGUCUGGGAAACCGCCUGAUGGAGGGGGAUAACUACUGGAAACGGUAGCUAAUACCGCAUAACGUCGCAAGACCAAAGAGGGGGACCUUCGGGCCUCUUGCCAUCGGAUGUGCCCAGAUGGGAUUAGCUAGUAGGUGGGGUAACGGCUCACCUAGGCGACGAUCCCUAGCUGGUCUGAGAGGAUGACCAGCCACACUGGAACUGAGACACGGUCCAG
This 232-nucleotide ribosomal RNA is filed under the name uncultured bacterium. Its description in RNAcentral is "partial 16S ribosomal RNA". It matches the Rfam family "Bacterial small subunit ribosomal RNA", at positions 99 to 334 of the family's 1533-position model. The record is from RNAcentral.